This 1242-nucleotide ribosomal RNA is filed under the name metagenome. Its description in RNAcentral is "bacterial LSU rRNA". It matches the Rfam family "Bacterial large subunit ribosomal RNA", at positions 1564 to 2816 of the family's 2925-position model. The record is from RNAcentral.
UGAAUACGAGACGCUAAGGCGUCGAAGUAGUGUAUGUCAUACUUCCAAGAAAAGCUUGCACUGUCAUUAGUAAAAAAUGCCUGUACCAUAACCGACACAGGUGGGUAAGUAGAGUAUACUAAGGGGCGCGAGAUAACUCUCUCUAAGGAACUCGGCAAAAUAACUCCGUAACUUCGGGAGAAGGAGUGCCUUAUUCUUAAGGUUGCAAUAACAAGAUCCAAGCAACUGUUUAUCAAAAACACAGGUCUCCGCUAAGUCGUAAGACGAUGUAUGGGGGCUGACGCCUGCCCAGUGCCAGAGGGUUAAAGAAGUCGGUUAGCAAUUGCGAAGCUGGUAACUGAAGCCCUGGUGAACGGCGGCCGUAACUAUAACGGUCCUAAGGUAGCGAAAUUCCUUGUCGGGUAAGUUCCGACCCGCACGAAAGGCGUAAUGAUUUGGAUGCUGUCUCGGAGAGAGGCUCGGUGAAAUAGACUUGUCUGUGAAGAUGCGGACUACCUGCACCAGGACAGAAAGACCCUAUGAAGCUUUACUGUAACUUGAAAUUGAAAUUGGACUUUACUCGCGCAGUAUAGGUGGGAGGCGUUGAUUAUAAUCUCGUGGGAUUAUUGGAGCCAUCAGUGAGAUACCACUCUUGUAAUGUUAGAUUUCUAACUUUGAAUCAUUAUCUGGUCAAAGGACAGUUUCAGGCGGGCAGUUUGACUGGGGCGGUCGCCUCCUAAACGGUAACGGAGGCGUACAAAGGUUUCCUUUGAACGGUUAGAAAUCGUAUCUAGAGUGUAAAGGCAUAAGGAAGCUUGACUGUGAGACCUACAAGUCGAGCAGGGACGAAAGUCGGUCUUAGUGAUCUGACGGUACUGAGUGGAAAGGCCGUCACUCAACGGAUAAAAGUUACUCUAGGAUAACAGGCUGAUCUCCCCCAAGAGUCCACAUCGACGGGGAGGUUUGGCACCUCGAUGUCGGCUCAUCGCAUCCUGGGGCGGUAGUACGUCCCAAGGGUUGGGCUGUUCGCCCAUGAAAGCGGUACGCGAGCUGGGUUCAGAACGUCGUGAGACAGUUCGGUCCAUAUCCGGUGUAGGCGCUAGAAUAUUGAGAGGAGCCUUCUUUAGUACGAGAGGACCGAGAAGGACAUACCUCUGGUGUACCAGUUAUCGUGCCAACGGUAAACGCUGGGUAGCUAUGUAUGGAGUGGAUAACCGCUGAAAGCAUCUAAGUGGGAAGCCCACCUCAAGAUAAGUAUUCUCA